ACUAAGUCACGGGGUGGGGCAAAACAUUAGCCCGUAGGAAGCAUCACGUCUAUUCUGCUGUGAAUUACAUCUCUGCUGCUAAAAUCUUAUCGAUUUCAGGUGAUUCAGGUGAUUGCAGAAAUGCCAUUUAACCAGCCAGCACAAAAGGUUUGGUUAAAUAUUUGUGUCUGAACUCCCAGGACCCAAAACACAACUCAGUUGACUCAGGACCAGGCCACUGACAUAACUGCUCUCCAGUCAUUUAGGGCGUACGACAGAUUGCUAUGUAUUGGCUCGGUCUCUGAAAGGGCAAGGAAGUUCAGGCCUUAUCACCUGUUGUGCGAUCUGUACGGUGACCUCAGCAGUAAAGCACUCUGUUGUUCCUGUUGCUGAUCAUCUUUGAAGAGAGCUUAGCUUUAAAUGAUAGUCAGGAUUAAAUGAGAAGAGGCCCUUCCCCAAGCCAGGCAGCGAAAGUCAGGAAUUGGGACAGUAAGUUGACAAGUGCAUGUGCUUUGCAAACAGCGCACAUCACAAAGACAGUUGUCAAUGGGCAAAUUCACCAACUGACAAUAUUAAAUCUCAGAAAAGUUCAGCAAUCGUUGAGUAGCAAAACCUUUGGCUACACUUUCAGAUCUCUGUUAACUACUACAAUACAGAAAAUAGAUGAAAUAUCAUAGAAUCGGUCAGGUUGGAAAAGACCUUAAAGAUCAUCGAGUGCAACCACGACCUAACCAUGCUACCUAACUCUAACAACCCUCCGCUAAAUCGUGUCCCUGAUCACCACAUCCAAUGCGACCUGCUAAAUGACUUACUCGGCCUUAUGGUUGACCUGAAUGAGGAGGUGGAGAGGCUGAGGAGCGUAAGGGAAUGUGAGAGGGAGAUUGCUUGGUGAUGCCAAACGCUAUCGGCCCCGAGAUCUUGGCAGUCAGCUGAGGCUCCACAUGGAGCGCGUCACCCCCUGCCGCCUUGCAAACAGGUGACAGAGGGGACCCAGCAGGCAGAUAGUGUUCCUGCUGCCGUGAACCCCCUGUCCUCUCCUCCCCCUAGGAACAGUGGUGAAGAAUCGAGGGAUGUGGUGCAGUGGCAAAAGUCCCCUGCUUGGCAAUGCAGGCGUGCCCUCCCAGAGAUCUCCCUGCCUCCCCAGCUGCCCCUGCGGAACAG
This is a long non-coding RNA of Gallus gallus (chicken), 1140 nucleotides long. The record is from Ensembl. NCBI's taxonomy places the organism in Eukaryota, Metazoa, Chordata, Aves, Galliformes, Phasianidae.